RNAcentral lists this ribosomal RNA (498 nucleotides) under uncultured bacterium. RNAcentral describes it as "partial 16S ribosomal RNA". It matches the Rfam family "Bacterial small subunit ribosomal RNA", at positions 28 to 523 of the family's 1533-position model. The record is from RNAcentral.
GAUGAACGCUGGCGGCGUGCCUAAUACAUGCAAGUCGAACGCUUCACUUCGGUGAAGAGUGGCGAACGGGUGAGUAAUACAUAAGUAACCUGGCAUCUACAGGGGGAUAACUGAUGGAAACGUCAGCUAAGACCGCAUAGGUGUAGAGAUCGCAUGAACUCUAUAUGAAAAGUGCUACGGGACUGGUAGAUGAUGGACUUAUGGCGCAUUAGCUGGUUGGUAGGGUAACGGCCUACCAAGGCGACGAUGCGUAGCCGACCUGAGAGGGUGACCGGCCCCACGAGUACUGAGACGCGGCCCAGACUCCUACGGGAGGCAGCAGUAGGGAAUUUUCGGCAAUGGGGGAAACCCUGACCGAGCAACGCCGCGUGAAGGAAGAAGUAAUUCGUUAUGUAAACUUCUGUCAUAGAGGAAGAACGGUGGAUAUAGGGAAUGAUAUCCAAGUGACGGUACUCUAUAAGAAAGCCACGGCUAACUACGUGCCAGCAGCCGCCGUAA